This 645-nucleotide ribosomal RNA is filed under the name Triticum aestivum (bread wheat). RNAcentral's name for it is "partial small subunit ribosomal RNA". Lineage: Eukaryota; Viridiplantae; Streptophyta; Magnoliopsida; Poales; Poaceae. The record is from RNAcentral.
AUGCAUAUAGUGGGAAGUUCAAGGAGUGCAACGGGCCCAAGUCUGAUCCAGCCUCACAGGACAUUGAUGUUACGGUUUCCCUCAAGUCGGGACAAGGCAAGAAGCGUGGGUGGUUAUAUGUUGGUGACGGUUCCAUCCGUAAGAAGGACAUUCCAGAACUUGCCCACCUCCGUGCUACCACGUCGAGCUCACGUCCUGCUAUUGAGCGCCGCCCAUCAAUUCCAUGCUCGCCUAGAGGAAGAAAGCAGGUUGCGGCAGGAAGAAACCAGGUUGCGGCUGGAGGCUCAGGCCAAUGCCCUACUUCAACAGGAGCAAGCCAUGAAAAUGCAGCAAGCCCUGUUUCAGCAGCAGGAAUUCAUGGUUAAACAGCAGGCGGCCCUGCAGGAGACGUUCGCUCGGUUCAGUACUAAUAUGCAGGGUUCUACUUUGCCGGAUCUUCCGCCUGUUCCACCGCUUCCUACUUUUAGCUUUGUAAGUCUUCAACUUUUCAAUCAUGCAUCUCACCAUCUUACCGUCUCAUGCUUGAAGUGUCCUCGAUCGGGAGAAGGCUCCAAUAACUUUGUGGUAGGUGGAUCUGCACCUGCCCAAGCAAGCCCAGUGACACCCACUGGGGCUCAUGGUGCUUCAACCUCCACACCACAAUGA